AGGGAAGCAGUGCUGGAAGCAAAGCGCACCCCUCUUCUCAAAGUUUGGCUUAGAACCGACUCUCAGGAGUUCGCUAGAGCUAUUAACUCGAAGAAAUAUCUGGUGGAGCUUUUUGAAGUUCUCAUGGAUAUCAAAUUUCUAUCUUUUUCUUUCAGUUUUUUCUUUGUUUCCUUUGUUGGUCGUGAGCACAAUGUGAUAGCUGACUCCCUCGCGAAAUCAGCUCUGCAUAACCUCCCUUCUAUCUUGUACUGAACUCCCGUUUACAUCUAUAAAUCUUCAUGUUGCCCCAAAAAAAAGACUAUAUGAGGUUUCAGUGACUUCAAAUUCUACUUUUAACUUUUUUUGUCUUCUCAUCUGAGCUCAACUCUAUUAUUCUUGCUUUCUUUUCUCCUCUUAGUUCAUAGUCAUACCAUAUCUUUACAAGGAACCCGUAACAAAAAAGAUGAAGGAGACUUUCAAACACCAUUACACCAGAUAGUACUAGAGGUAUAGGGAGAAAAAAAACCCAAUAUUACUAGAGGUAUAAGGAAAAAGCCCCAAUAGCUAGUGGAUAUUUCAAAUUUAAAGUCCUACAGAAAUUUAAGAUAUGGAACAUACAACGACAUAUAAAUGUUUUUGCCCAUAUUGAAACUAUUAAAAUAUGAAAGUUAGGGCCCUAAGAUUAACUAUGUGAAAUGGAGCCUAAGACAUUUGCCCCUCUUUUUUUGGUCGUCACUGGCGACUCGUGGACUAUAUUCAUGGUAAUUCAUUACAAUCUUAAUGUCCCGGAUGCUGGCAAUUGCAUAGAGUGGAGAAUCCAUCAUUGUCGUGGGUCACAAGUUGCAGCGAUGCUUUAGAGAAUUUGAUCAGCACCUCCUCCGAUUCUAUCAUCUGGUUCUCACAUAUGGAAACAUAGAAAGGAUGACUGUAGGCACUAUUUCUCCACCCAAAAAAAAAACAUGGGAUCAUUUAAAAACGAUAAGCUGGCAGUGCCAUGGUAGAAGAUUGUCUUGUUUUCUCAAUCUAUCCAUCAGCAUGCGUUUCUAUACCUCUCUGAUUUUCCUGCUUUGUCAUUCGAUUGAUCUUUUUGAUCAUUGUAGAUGAGAUAUUUUUAUCAACAUACUUUGCAUCUCAACAGAAUAAUCUUAUUAUAUAAAAUAGAGUUUGCUCUCUCCGUAGAGAGACACCUAGAAUGCCACAUAGGAAAGUCGGCUCACAUCAUGUCGACACGUGUCCCAUUUUAUCUGUGCUCUGCGUUUCAUUUAUUUGAGUUUAUUUGUUUUUGUGUGUAUGGGUUGGGAAAGUGGUGGGUUGUGGUUGAUGUAGUACAUGUCUGUAACCUGAAUAAGAAAACCCUAGACUUCUGGCUCUGGCGUUGUCUUCUCCUUCUUUGUUUUCAGAAACUUUUCAUCUUCGUUUGAAUCAUCUGUGGCAUUGAAACGCAUCCGUUUGUUUCUUCUUCAUGAUUAAUCUCCAUUACUUCAGUUACCACGAUGUAGCCUUGACUGCAUGCUUUGAUUAGGAGUCGGUGAACCUGAGCGUAUAAAUAGGCCAGCUUUCUUUCUCUUACAGUCAUCUUAUUAAUCUGUUUAAACAGGAAAACACAUUUUUCUGAGAUAUAGCUAACUCCCAAGUUUUCCUUACCGAGUUGGAGUCUGGAAGAUGUUCUUCGAAAGUUGAAGUUAGAUUGCUGCGAUUCUGGGAGUAUAGAUAUGUUAGGCGUGGUGGUGAAACUGAUCAUAUCACAGUCGAUAUGUUUUUGAUUGAUUGGAAGGGAACUCUCAUGCCAGCCACUGUGAAUGCAAGCCGUGUUCCAACCUUCCGACCUCAUCUCACGGCGGGAGCGAUAUAUUCUAUCGCCGGAUUUGAUGUGGCUCUGUUGUAAUCAAAACUUUAGGCUGUCUGACUCCUCCCUUUUGGUUCGAUUCGGUGAUGCAACCUCCUUAAGGAUGUUUCUGUGACCUUGAGUAUGUUCGACUCAACAACAGUUUCGUUUCACAAAAGACUCAAAGCCAUGCGUGGUGAUCCAAAAGGUCGUCUAUAUCUUAAUGCCACAUCAGGAACACACAUUUAUUUCGAUAAAGAGACUAAUGUAGGAGAGAGCUACUUUUACAAGUUGGUCUCCACAGACACUGGGCUUCCCUCAGCCGCUCCACUGCUGAGGGGAUAUGCUAAGGUUGAGACUCUAACCAUAUCUGAGCGUAAUGAGUUUAUAAUCACAGCUCUAACUCAGGAUAUUGAUUUCAUAUGCACUGGGAAAGUGACAAGCAGCAAGAUAGAGAAAAGGAUGAUGUUCUGUUGCUUGCUCCGUUGUACCAAAAAAACUGCAGCGCGCCGUUGUUGAUAUGGAAGGAAAAACAUUCACCUUUCAGGGAGGCGACAACAACAAUGGACCUGCAGGUGAUGACACAGUCGUUGCUAAGGUUGAAACUGGUGGAAGUAGUGAACAGUCAGCAUCAAAUACGGGAACAGCCCCGACUGGUAAUGAGCAGAAGACCCCUCCCGAGAAUGCAUCUUUGAAGAUGGUCAAGAAGGCACUCAUGGCAUAAGUUGUGAUAAUAAGAUCUAUGGACGCAGUUUUUCCCUUUUUAAAUAAUGCUAUGACAUCAGUUUUCGUGGACGAGUUU
This is a long non-coding RNA of Brassica napus (rape), 2606 nucleotides long. RefSeq lists it as uncharacterized. The transcript has 7 exons. The record is from RefSeq and is a predicted model, not a curated record. Lineage: Eukaryota; Viridiplantae; Streptophyta; Magnoliopsida; Brassicales; Brassicaceae.